This 1001-nucleotide ribosomal RNA is filed under the name uncultured organism. Its description in RNAcentral is "bacterial SSU rRNA". It matches the Rfam family "Bacterial small subunit ribosomal RNA", at positions 356 to 1376 of the family's 1533-position model. The record is from RNAcentral.
GGGGGAUAUUGCGCAAUGGGGGCAACCCUGACGCAGCAACGCCGCGUGAAGGAUGAAGGUUUUCGGAUUGUAAACUUCUUUUAUUAAGGACGAAAAAUGACGGUACACACAGAAUAAGCCACGGCUAACUACGUGCCAGCAGCCGCGGUAAUACGUAGGUGGCAAGCGUUGUCCGGAUUUACUGGGUGUAAAGGGCGUGUAGGCGGGUUUACAAGUCAGAUGUGAAAUACCGGGGCUCAACUCCGGGGCUGCAUUUGAAACUGUAGAUCUUGAGUGUCGGAGAGGAAAGCGGAAUUCCUAGUGUAGCGGUGAAAUGCGUAGAUAUUAGGAGGAACACCAGUGGCGAAGGCGGCUUUCUGGACGAUAACUGACGCUGAGGCGCGAAAGCGUGGGGAGCAAACAGGAUUAGAUACCCUGGUAGUCCACGCCGUAAACGAUGGAUACUAGGUGUAGGAGGUAUCGACCCCUUCUGUGCCGGAGUAAACACAAUAAGUAUCCCACCUGGGGAGUACGGUCGCAAGAUUGAAACUCAAAGGAAUUGACGGGGGCCCGCACAAGCAGUGGAGUAUGUGGUUUAAUUCGAAGCAACGCGAAGAACCUUACCAGGUCUUGACAUCCAACUAACGAAGUAGAGAUACAUUAGGUGCCCUUCGGGGAAAGUUGAGACAGGUGGUGCAUGGUUGUCGUCAGCUCGUGUCGUGAGAUGUUGGGUUAAGUCCCGCAACGAGCGCAACCCUUGCUAUUAGUUGCUACGCAAGAGCACUCUAAUAGGACUGCCGUUGACAAAACGGAGGAAGGUGGGGACGACGUCAAAUCAUCAUGCCCCUUAUGACCUGGGCUACACACGUACUACAAUGGAUGUUAACAGAGGGAAGCAAGACAGCGAUGUGGAGCAAACCCCUAAAAACAUUCUCAGUUCAGAUUGCAGGCUGCAACCCGCCUGCAUGAAGAUGGAAUUGCUAGUAAUCGCGGAUCAGCAUGCCGCGGUGAAUACGUUCCCG